Molecule: ribosomal RNA, 359 nt
Filed under: uncultured fungus
Lineage: Eukaryota; Fungi
Description: eukaryotic LSU rRNA
Rfam family: 5.8S ribosomal RNA (bases 1-125)
Source: RNAcentral
GCAUCGAUGAAGAACGCAGCGAAUUGCGAUAAGUAAUGUGAAUUGCAGAAUUCAGUGAAUCAUCGAGUCUUUGAACGCACAUUGCGCCCCCUGGUAUUCCGGAGAGCAUGCCUGUUUCAGUGUCAUGAAAUCUCAACCACUAGGGUUUCCUAAUGGAUUGGAUUUGGGCGUCUGCGAUCUCUGAUCGCUCGCCUUAAAAGAGUUAGCAAGUUUGACAUUAAUGUCUGGUGUAAUAAGUUUCACUGGGUCCAUUGUGUUGAAGCGUGCUUCUAAUCGUCCGCAAGGACAAUUACUUUGACUCUGGCCUGAAAUCAGGUAGGACUACCCGCUGAACUUAAGCAUAUCAAUAAGCGGAGGAA